RNAcentral lists this unclassified non-coding RNA (245 nucleotides) under uncultured fungus. Its description in RNAcentral is "sequence contains ITS2". Lineage: Eukaryota; Fungi. The record is from RNAcentral.
AACGCACAUUGCGCCCUUCGGUAUUCCGUUGGGCAUGCCUGUUCGAGCGUCAUUUAAACCUUCAAGCUUUGCUUGGUGUUGGGCGGCUGUUCUGCCUGUGGGCGCGAACUCGCCUCAAAUCUAUUGGCAGUUUGUGGGUUGGAUUCUGUGUGCAGCACAUUGCGCGACGACUCCAGCCUCCUUGCUCCCAUCAAGCCUUUCCAUUGUUUGACCUCGGAUCAGGUAGGGAUACCCGCUGAACUUAA